UCGGAAGAUGGAAAUGGAAAGUAACUGAGGGAAGCUCUGAGGGCGAAGCAGGGACCCAGAAAAGGCUCACAGGCACACCCGUGUCAGUGAGAGAAACCAGGCUUCAUUAAAGGGGCAGGAGGCUGGGUAUGGUGAUGUAUUCCUGCCUGUAAUUGCUGCACAUUGGAGGUGGAAGCAGAUGGAGGCAACCUGGGCUACACGGCAAGGCCAAUGUCACCCCAAAGACUCAUGCAAGCUCACCUCUCCAUAUCUUCCAACACGCAGUACAAUCUUCCUGAAACACCUCCAAUCUGCACUCGGCUAACUCCAACUCCUCCACGGAGAUUCAGCUCAGGAGACAUUCCUCAUAGAAGCUUUCCCGAGCCACCCCUAGCCACCACCCGCAGAAACUACGAGCUCUCAACUGCGGGGCUAUUGAUCGCUGUAUCAAGGACACGCUCAUUGCAUGAAUGGCUGUGGGUUAACAGCCUAGGAGGAAUGUGGACUGUGGAGAUAACCCUAAAGCUGCUGGAUCACCUAAACCUGUACUGACUCUUCCUCCUAAAAAUGAUGGGAGCACUCACAAAAUCAGCACGAGCUGGUUGAGGCUAGAAUGAAAGCCCCAGGAAAGGGCUCGGAGCUCCUUGCGACAAAAGGACCACAAGGUUACAUGGGACGGGAUGGGAGAGUUUCACAGCCACCACUUUACCAUCCAUUCUUGAGAAGCCCUGCCUGGGAUGACAACGGGACCCAGACCCCAGUGUGUUGUCACCAGCCUCAGAAAACCCCCAAGAGGCAUGUUUCCAGACUCCUCCGUAAUUUCCUGGACUGUCCCAACCACUCCACAACCAGUAACGAUAAACCCAA
Meriones unguiculatus (Mongolian gerbil) is the source of this 846-nucleotide long non-coding RNA. RefSeq lists it as uncharacterized. The transcript is spliced from 3 exons. The record is from RefSeq and is a predicted model, not a curated record. Lineage: Eukaryota; Metazoa; Chordata; Mammalia; Rodentia; Muridae.